ACGCGAGAUGGCGUUGAUUAAAAUUUUUCAAUCGUCUCCUAAUUUAUCGACAAUUUUAUUUGUUAUAAGUUUAUAGGAUCAAAUGAUUAUACCCUUAUAUACUUACGUGGAUUAAUUAUAAUUUAAAAACUAUUUAAAUGGGAUUGUAUUAUGGCAUAACGAGAUAUAAUAAACAAAAAGACAUUCUCACGAAUAUUGAUAUAUUUGUUAAAUAUAAUUACAUGAAUGAAGAUUUGGAAGAUUAGUUGCUACAAUAAAGAUAAUGGAUGGACGGAAAAUGUAAAAUGUCCAGUUUUUAAAUAAACUCCUGUUAAAUUGAUGAUUUUUAUCGAAAUAAUGGUUCUUAACAUACGUUUAAUAAGAUAGGAGUAAGAUAGCUUUGAUCGAUUAUCUAUUAAUUAAUAACAUUUACAAUAUAAUUAAUAUUGGAAAACGUUAGAAUUACAAAUCAUUCUAAUUUAAAAAUAUUUAUAGAUUUAAUAAGUAUAAAUUUAUUAAAUAUAUGUGGAUCUCGAUUUCUAGGCCGAUGAAAUUGGAAAUUCGGCCGAUAAUAUUAAAGUGUAACUUACGAGCGAGAAAACCAUGGAACUGAUUGUAAAUGGAAACUCGAAUUCAAAUGGUGUACGUGCUCGUUCUCGUCCAUAGUGUAAUAGUCCAUUGAAUGGCUGAAGUAUUGUUUGUAAUUUCACUUUACAGCAUGUUUCAUGCAACCAUUCAGGUAUUCUAUCAAUGAAUUUCUGGAAUUAAUAAAUAUUCUUGAAAAUGAAAUAGAAACAGAUGUAAAGGCUCAAAUUCAAACAAUUUGUACAAAAUCUGAUCAUUGAAUGCUAGAAAAAGAAACGAAUGUAAUUUUUAAUAUCGAUUUAUUAUUUGCAGCUUACUUUCCAUUACAUCUAUUACAUUCUGUUAAUCUAAUAUACGUGGAAUCUAAUAGUCUCAUCUAUGAAAAUUUCGAUGUCAUAUUUGAUAGAUGACUUAUACGAAUAAAAUAAGCCAAUUAUGAUGAGACAAAUAAUAUAAUUUUAUGAAUAAACAGUACGUAUAAAUAUUUGUUAAAAAAUCUUUCAUAUAUAGAUUGACGUAAAUAUUGAACAUAAAAAAAAUUAUCUUUAUAAAAUAUCUAUUGCAAAAAAUGUAAUAAGAAAUUAAAUUGAACUUUAUAAUAGAAUUUAUGAUACAAUUAUAUCUUCAAAUAGAAAAAAAAAGCAGAGAAACAUAUUACGAUUAUUAUAAUACUAUAAAUUUUUAUUAUUACGAUUUUUAAUUUUCUUUAUAAAAAUAAUUACCACUACAUACGCGAA
This is a long non-coding RNA of Apis cerana (Asiatic honeybee), 1301 nucleotides long. RefSeq lists it as uncharacterized. The record is from RefSeq and is a predicted model, not a curated record. NCBI's taxonomy places the organism in Eukaryota, Metazoa, Arthropoda, Insecta, Hymenoptera, Apidae.